CCUACGGGUGGCAGCAGUGGGGAAUAUUGCACAAUGGGGGAAACCCUGAUGCAGCGACGCCGCGUGAGUGAAGAAGUAUCUCGGUACGUAAAGCUCUAUCAGCAGGGAAGAAAAUGACGGUACGUGACUAAGAAGCCACGGCUAACUACGUGCCAGCAGCCGCGGUUAUACGUAGGGGGCAAGCGUUAUCCGGAUUUAUUGGGUGUAAAGGGAGCGUAGACGGGAGAGCAAGUGUGGAGUUAAAUUCCGGGGCUUAACCCGAGAACUGCAUUGGAAACUGUGAGGCUGGAGUGUAGGUGAGGUAGGCGGAAUUCGUGGUGUAGCGGUGAAAUGCGUAGAUAUUAGGAGGAACACCGGUGGCGAAGGCGGCUUACUGGACUGUCACUGACGUUGAGGCUCGAAAGCGUGGGGAGCAAACAGGAUUAGAUACCCGAGUAGUC
Molecule: ribosomal RNA, 440 nt
Filed under: uncultured bacterium
Lineage: Bacteria
Description: partial 16S ribosomal RNA
Rfam family: Bacterial small subunit ribosomal RNA
Source: RNAcentral